Molecule: non-coding RNA, 30 nt
Filed under: Mus musculus (house mouse)
Lineage: Eukaryota; Metazoa; Chordata; Mammalia; Rodentia; Muridae
Source: RNAcentral
UACCAGACUGUCAGACGUUGGCCAUUUGGU